CGGACGGGGUGGAGGUAAUGUAUGGGGAUCUGCCUGAUGGCGGGGGAUAACUACUGGAAACGGUAGCUAAUACCGCAUAAUGUCUACGGACCAAAGCGGGGGGACCGUCCGGGCCUCGCGCCAUCAGAUGAACCCAUAUGGGAUUAGCUUGUAGGUAAGGUAACGGCUUACCUAGGCGACGAUCCCUAGCUGGUCUGAGAGGAUGACCAGCCACACUGGAACUGAGACACGGUCCAG
This 237-nucleotide ribosomal RNA is filed under the name uncultured bacterium. RNAcentral's name for it is "partial 16S ribosomal RNA". It matches the Rfam family "Bacterial small subunit ribosomal RNA", at positions 104 to 334 of the family's 1533-position model. The record is from RNAcentral.